RNAcentral lists this ribosomal RNA (394 nucleotides) under uncultured bacterium. RNAcentral describes it as "bacterial SSU rRNA". It matches the Rfam family "Bacterial small subunit ribosomal RNA", at positions 30 to 428 of the family's 1533-position model. The record is from RNAcentral.
AUUGAACGCUGGCGGCAUGCUUUACACAUGCAAGUCGAACGGUAACAGGCCUUCGGGUGCUGACGAGUGGCGAACGGGUGAGUAAUGCAUCGGAACGUGCCCAAUCGUGGGGGAUAACGUAGCGAAAGUUACGCUAAUACCGCAUAAGCCCUGAGGGGGAAAGCAGGGGAUCGCAAGACCUUGCGCGAAUGGAGCGGCCGAUGUCAGAUUAGCUAGUUGGUGGGGUAAAGGCCUACCAAGGCGACGAUCUGUAGCGGGUCUGAGAGGAUGAUCCGCCACACUGGAACUGAGACACGGUCCAGACUCCUACGGGAGGCAGCAGUGGGGAAUUUUGGACAAUGGGGGCAGCCCUGAUCCAGCCAUGCCGCGUGAGUGAAGAAGGCCUCGGUUGUAA